Molecule: ribosomal RNA, 451 nt
Filed under: uncultured Pseudomonas sp.
Lineage: Bacteria; Pseudomonadati; Pseudomonadota; Gammaproteobacteria; Pseudomonadales; Pseudomonadaceae
Description: bacterial SSU rRNA
Rfam family: Bacterial small subunit ribosomal RNA
Source: RNAcentral
CGGUGGAGCAUGUGGUUAAUUCGAAGCAACGCGAAGAACCUUAUCAGGCCUUGACAUGCAGAGAACUUUCCAGAGAUGGAUUGGUGCCUUCGGGAACUCUGACACAGGUGCUGCAUGGCUGUCGUCAGCUCGUGUCGUGAGAUGUUGGGUUAAGUCCGUAACGAGCGCAACCCUUGUCCUUAGUUACCAGCACGUUAUGGUGGGCACUCUAAGGAGACUGCCGGUGACAAACCGGAGGAAGGUGGGGAUGACGUCAAGCCAUCAUGGCCCUUACGGCCUGGGCUACACACGUGCUACAAUGGUCGGUACAAAGGGUUGCCAAGCCGCGAGGUGGAGCUAAUCCCAUAAAACCGAUCGUAGUCCGGAUCGCAGUCUGCAACUCGACUGCGUGAAGUCGGAAUCGCUAGUAAUCGUGAAUCAGAAUGUCACGGUGAAUACGUUCCCGGGCCUU